GAUGAACGCUGGCGGCGUGCCUAAUACAUGCAAGUCGAGCGAACAGAUGAGGAGCUUGCUCCUCUGACGUUAGCGGCGGACGGGUGAGUAACACGUGGAUAACCUACCUAUAAGACUGGGAUAACUUCGGGAAACCGGAGCUAAUACCGGAUAAUAUAUUGAACCGCAUGGUUCAAUAGUGAAAGACGGUUUUGCUGUCACUUAUAGAUGGAUCCGCGCCGCAUUAGCUAGUUGGUAAGGUAACGGCUUACCAAGGCGACGAUGCGUAGCCGACCUGAGAGGGUGAUCGGCCACACUGGAACUGAGACACGGUCCAGACUCCUACGGGAGGCAGCAGUAGGGAGUCUUCCGCAAUGGGCGAAAGCCUGACGGAGCAACGCCGCGUGAGUGAUGAAGGUCUUCGGAUCGUAAAACUCUGUUAUUAGGGAAGAACAAAUGUGUAAGUAACUAUGCACGUCUUGACGGUACCUAAUCAGAAAGCCACGGCUAACUACGUG
Molecule: ribosomal RNA, 497 nt
Filed under: uncultured bacterium
Lineage: Bacteria
Description: partial 16S ribosomal RNA
Rfam family: Bacterial small subunit ribosomal RNA
Source: RNAcentral